AAGACAUGCAAGUCGAACGGAAGCCGUUUGAAAUUAAUUGAUUGGAUAUGAGGACUUGUCCAAUUUGAAGAGAUGUUAAUUUAAACAUAUGACUUUAGUGGCGGACUGGUGAGUAACGCGUAAGCAAUCUGCCUAUCAGAGGGGAAUAACAGCGAGAAAUCGUUGCUAAUACCGCAUAUGCUUAAGUAUCGCAUGGUACAAUAAGGAAAGGAGCAAUCCGCUGAUAGAUGGGCUUGCGUCUGAUUAGAUAGUUGGUGGGGUAACGGCCUACCAAGUCGAUGAUCAGUAGCCGGACUGAGAGGUUGAACGGCCACAUUGGGACUGAGAUACGGCCCAGACUCCUACGGGAGGCAGCAGUCGGGAAUAUUGCGCAAUGGAGGAAACUCUGACGCAGUGACGCCGCGUGCAGGAAGAAGGUUUUCGGAUUGUAAACUGCUUUAGACAGGGACGAAACAAAUGACGGUACCUGUAGAAUAAGCUCCGGCUAACUACGUGCCAGCAGCUGC
Molecule: ribosomal RNA, 506 nt
Filed under: uncultured bacterium
Lineage: Bacteria
Description: bacterial SSU rRNA
Rfam family: Bacterial small subunit ribosomal RNA
Source: RNAcentral